GGCUAGUCCGAUGGUAGUGGGUUAUCAGAACUUAUUAACAUUAGUAUCACAAAAGUUGGUACUCAACAACCCCCCACUGCUAAAUUUGACUGGUUAAA
Molecule: Y RNA, 98 nt
Filed under: Microcebus murinus (gray mouse lemur)
Lineage: Eukaryota; Metazoa; Chordata; Mammalia; Primates; Cheirogaleidae
Description: Y RNA (ENSMICG00000046976.1)
Rfam family: Y RNA
About the family: Y RNAs are components of the Ro ribonucleoprotein particle (Ro RNP), in association with Ro60 and La proteins. The Y RNAs and Ro60 and La proteins are well conserved, but the function of the Ro RNP is not known. In humans the RNA component can be one of four small RNAs -- hY1, hY3, hY4 and hY5.
Source: Rfam by way of RNAcentral